RNAcentral lists this ribosomal RNA (584 nucleotides) under Allocyttus folletti. Its description in RNAcentral is "partial 16S ribosomal RNA". The stretch from base 237 to 584 matches the Rfam family "Bacterial large subunit ribosomal RNA", at positions 569 to 1050 of the family's 2925-position model. Lineage: Eukaryota; Metazoa; Chordata; Actinopteri; Zeiformes; Oreosomatidae. The record is from RNAcentral.
CAUCUCCCUUACACCGAGAAGCCGCCCGUGCAAAUCGAGCCACCCUGACGCCCAAUUGCUAGCUCAAAAGACAUUUUUAAAAGUUUGAUAUUACUAACAAUAGAUAACCUAAAAACCCACAACAAACCAUUUUUCCCCCCAAGUAAAGGCGAUAGAAAAGGGACCAUGGAGCUAUAGACAAAGUACCGCAAGGGAACGCUGAAAAAGAAGUGAAACAAAUCAAAUAAGCCUAAUAUAGCAGAGACCCCAACUCGUACCUUUUGCAUCAUGAUUUAGCAAGUAAGACCCAAGCAAAGAGACCUAUAGUUUGGAACCCCGAAACUAAGCGAGCUACUCCAAGACAGCCCAAUUGGGGCCAACCCGUCCCUGUGGCAAAAGGGUGGGAAGAGCUUUGAGUAGAGGUGAUAAACCUACCGAGCAUAGUUAUAGCUGGUUGCCUGAGAAAUGAAUAGAAGUUCAGCCCCCCGGCUUACUGCCCCACCUUAGUACUACUAAAAUUGGGCACAGGAAACCAGAGGAGUUAGUUAAAGGAGGUACAGCUCCUUUUUAAUAGAAACACCUUUUACAGAUGGCCAAAGAUCAAA